RNAcentral lists this ribosomal RNA (460 nucleotides) under uncultured bacterium. RNAcentral describes it as "partial 16S ribosomal RNA". It matches the Rfam family "Bacterial small subunit ribosomal RNA", at positions 338 to 795 of the family's 1533-position model. The record is from RNAcentral.
CCUACGGGUGGCAGCAGUGAGGAAUAUUGGUCAAUGGACGAGAGUCUGAACCAGCCAAGUAGCGUGAAGGAUGACUGCCCUAUGGGUUGUAAACUUCUUUUAUAAAGGAAUAAAACGAGGCACGUGUGCCUUUUUGCAUGUACUUUAUGAAUAAGGAUCGGCUAACUCCGUGCCAGCAGCCGCGGUAAUACGGAGGGUCCGAGCGUUAUCCGGAUUUAUUGGGUUUAAAGGGAGCGUAGAUGGGUUGUUAAGUCAGUUGUGAAAUUUUGCGGCUCAACCGUAAAAUUGCAAUUGAUACUGGCAGUCUUGAGUCCAGUGGAGGUAGGCGGAAUUCGUGGUGUAGCGGUGAAAUGCUUAGAUAUCACGAAGAACCCCGAUUGCGAAGGCAGCUUACUAAACUGUGACUGACAUUGAUGCUCGAAAGUGUGGGUAUCAAACAGGAUUAGAUACCCCAGUAGUC